CUGGUUACACUUUUGCGGAAAACUGCACGCGAGCUGUCAAUGUAGUAGCUUCCGGUGGUCUACUCUCAGAGCGCUAUCUAGGGAAGGCAGAGCCUACAAGCAGGGCAGAGCUCAACACCGCCUCCCUCAGUAAGUACAAGAAC
Molecule: long non-coding RNA, 143 nt
Filed under: Oncorhynchus kisutch (coho salmon)
Lineage: Eukaryota; Metazoa; Chordata; Actinopteri; Salmoniformes; Salmonidae
Description: lncRNA (ENSOKIG00005023969.1)
Source: RNAcentral